UUUGUUGCCUCGGCAGAAGUUAUAGGAUUUCUUAUAGCUGCUGCCGGUGGACCAUUAAACUCUUGUUAUUUUAUGUAAUCUGAGCGUCUUAUUUUAAUAAGUCAAAACUUUCAACAACGGAUCUCUUGGUUCUGGCAUCGAUGAAGAACGCAGCGAAAUGCGAUAAGUAAUGUGAAUUGCAGAAUUCAGUGAAUCAUCGAAUCUUUGAACGCACAUUGCGCCCAUUAGUAUUCUAGUGGGCAUGCCUGUUCGAGCGUCAUUUCAACCCUUAAGCCUAGCUUAGUGUUGGGAAUCUACUUCUNUUANUAGUUGUAGUUCCUGAAAUACAACGGCGGAUUUGUAGUAUCCUCUGAGCGUAGUAAUUUNUUUUCUCGCUUUUGUUAGGUGCUAUAACUCCCAGCCGCUAAACCCCCAAUUUUUUGUGGUUGACCUCGGAUCAGGUAGGAAUACCCGCUGAACUUAAGC
This 465-nucleotide ribosomal RNA is filed under the name Neopestalotiopsis clavispora. RNAcentral's name for it is "eukaryotic LSU rRNA". The stretch from base 106 to 259 matches the Rfam family "5.8S ribosomal RNA". The record is from RNAcentral. Lineage: Eukaryota; Fungi; Ascomycota; Sordariomycetes; Amphisphaeriales; Sporocadaceae.